UCCUGGGUGGCUCAGUGGUUGAGCAUCUGCCUUUCGCUCAGCUCAUUAUCCUUGGGUCCUGGGAUCAAGUCCCAGAUCAGGGU
RNAcentral lists this transfer RNA (83 nucleotides) under Canis lupus familiaris (dog). It matches the Rfam family "tRNA". From Rfam's summary of the family: Transfer RNA (tRNA) molecules are approximately 80 nucleotides in length. Their secondary structure includes four short double-helical elements and three loops (D, anti-codon, and T loops). The record is from Rfam by way of RNAcentral. Lineage: Eukaryota; Metazoa; Chordata; Mammalia; Carnivora; Canidae.